RNAcentral lists this ribosomal RNA (468 nucleotides) under uncultured bacterium. RNAcentral's name for it is "partial 16S ribosomal RNA". It matches the Rfam family "Bacterial small subunit ribosomal RNA", at positions 28 to 507 of the family's 1533-position model. The record is from RNAcentral.
GACGAACGCUGGCGGCGUGCUUAACACAUGCAAGUCGAACGGAAAGGCCCUGCUUUUGUGGGGUGCUCGAGUGGCGAACGGGUGUGUAACACGUGAGUAACCUUCCCUUUACUUUGUGAUAACUUCAGGAAACUGGGGCUAAUACCGGAUAGGAGCUCCUGCUGCAUGGUGGGGUUUGGAAAGUUUCGGCGGUUGGGGAUGGACUGGCGGCUUAUCAGCUUGUUGGUGGGGUAGUGGCUUACCAAGGCUUUGACGGGUAGCCGGCCUGAGAGGGUGAACGGCGACAUUGGGACUGAGAUACGGCGCAGACUCCUACGGGAGGCAGCAGUGGGGAAUAUUGCACAAUGGGCGGAAGCCUGAUGCAGAAACGCCGCGUGCGGGAUGACGGCCUUCGGGUUGUAAACCGCUUUCGCCUGUGACGAAGCGUGAGUGACGGUAAUGGGUAAAGAAGCACCGGCUAACUACGUG